RNAcentral lists this ribosomal RNA (1414 nucleotides) under Vibrio sp. RNAcentral's name for it is "bacterial SSU rRNA". It matches the Rfam family "Bacterial small subunit ribosomal RNA". Lineage: Bacteria; Pseudomonadati; Pseudomonadota; Gammaproteobacteria; Vibrionales; Vibrionaceae. The record is from RNAcentral.
UGCAGUCGAGCGGUAACAGAUAGAAAGCUUGCUUUCUUUGCUGACGAGCGGCGGACGGGUGAGUAAUGCCUGGGAAUAUGCCUUGAUGUGGGGGAUAACCAUUGGAAACGAUGGCUAAUACCGCAUAAUGCCUACGGGCCAAAGAGGGGGAUCUUCGGACCUCUCGCGUCAAGAUUAGCCCAGGUGGGAUUAGCUAGUUGGUGAGGUAAUGGCUCACCAAGGCGACGAUCCCUAGCUGGUCUGAGAGGAUGAUCAGCCACACUGGAACUGAGACACGGUCCAGACUCCUACGGGAGGCAGCAGUGGGGAAUAUUGCACAAUGGGCGCAAGCCUGAUGCAGCCAUGCCGCGUGUGUGAAGAAGGCCUUCGGGUUGUAAAGCACUUUCAGUCGUGAGGAAGGUAGUUGCGUUAAUAGCGUAAUUAUUUGACGUUAGCGACAGAAGAAGCACCGGCUAACUCCGUGCCAGCAGCCGCGGUAAUACGGAGGGUGCGAGCGUUAAUCGGAAUUACUGGGCGUAAAGCGCAUGCAGGUGGUUUGUUAAGUCAGAUGUGAAAGCCCGGGGCUCAACCUCGGAAUUGCAUUUGAAACUGGCAGACUAGAGUACUGUAGAGGGGGGUAGAAUUUCAGGUGUAGCGGUGAAAUGCGUAGAGAUCUGAAGGAAUACCGGUGGCGAAGGCGGCCCCCUGGACAGAUACUGACACUCAGAUGCGAAAGCGUGGGGAGCAAACAGGAUUAGAUACCCUGGUAGUCCACGCCGUAAACGAUGUCUACUUGGAGGUUGUGGCCUUGAGCCGUGGCUUUCGGAGCUAACGCGUUAAGUAGACCGCCUGGGGAGUACGGUCGCAAGAUUAAAACUCAAAUGAAUUGACGGGGGCCCGCACAAGCGGUGGAGCAUGUGGUUUAAUUCGAUGCAACGCGAAGAACCUUACCUACUCUUGACAUCCAGAGAAGCCAGCGGAGACGCAGGUGUGCCUUCGGGAACUCUGAGACAGGUGCUGCAUGGCUGUCGUCAGCUCGUGUUGUGAAAUGUUGGGUUAAGUCCCGCAACGAGCGCAACCCUUAUCCUUGUUUGCCAGCGAGUAAUGUCGGGAACUCCAGGGAGACUGCCGGUGAUAAACCGGAGGAAGGUGGGGACGACGUCAAGUCAUCAUGGCCCUUACGAGUAGGGCUACACACGUGCUACAAUGGCGCAUACAGAGGGCUGCCAACCAGCGAUGGUGAGCGAAUCCCAAAAAGUGCGUCGUAGUCCGGAUUGGAGUCUGCAACUCGACUCCAUGAAGUCGGAAUCGCUAGUAAUCGUGGAUCAGAAUGCCACGGUGAAUACGUUCCCGGGCCUUGUACACACCGCCCGUCACACCAUGGGAGUGGGCUGCAAAAGAAGUGGGUAGUUUAACCUUUCGAGGAGGACGCUCA